UGGCUCAGUGGUCAAGCAUUUGGCUGCCAACCAAAAGGUCGGUGGUUCAAACCUACC
RNAcentral lists this transfer RNA (57 nucleotides) under Loxodonta africana (African savanna elephant). It matches the Rfam family "tRNA", at positions 8 to 63 of the family's 71-position model. Rfam says of the family: Transfer RNA (tRNA) molecules are approximately 80 nucleotides in length. Their secondary structure includes four short double-helical elements and three loops (D, anti-codon, and T loops). Further hydrogen bonds mediate the characteristic L-shaped molecular structure. tRNAs have two regions of fundamental functional importance: the anti-codon, which is responsible for specific mRNA codon recognition, and the 3' end, to which the tRNAs corresponding amino acid is attached (by aminoacyl-tRNA synthetases). tRNAs cope with the degeneracy of the genetic code in two manners: having more than one tRNA (with a specific anti-codon) for a particular amino acid; and 'wobble' base-pairing, i.e. permitting non-standard base-pairing at the 3rd anti-codon position. Lineage: Eukaryota; Metazoa; Chordata; Mammalia; Proboscidea; Elephantidae. The record is from Rfam by way of RNAcentral.